RNAcentral lists this ribosomal RNA (966 nucleotides) under Lysobacter soli. Its description in RNAcentral is "bacterial SSU rRNA". It matches the Rfam family "Bacterial small subunit ribosomal RNA", at positions 34 to 988 of the family's 1533-position model. Lineage: Bacteria; Pseudomonadati; Pseudomonadota; Gammaproteobacteria; Lysobacterales; Lysobacteraceae. The record is from RNAcentral.
CGCUGGCGGCAGGCCUAACACAUGCAAGUCGAACGGCAGCACAGAGGAGCUUGCUCCUUGGGUGGCGAGUGGCGGACGGGUGAGGAAUGCAUCGGAAUCUGCCUAUUUGUGGGGGAUAACGUAGGGAAACUUACGCUAAUACCGCAUACGUCCUACGGGAGAAAGUGGGGGACCUUCGGGCCUCACGCAGAUAGAUGAGCCGAUGCCGGAUUAGCUAGUUGGCGGGGUAAAGGCCCACCAAGGCGACGAUCCGUAGCUGGUCUGAGAGGAUGAUCAGCCACACUGGAACUGAGACACGGUCCAGACUCCUACGGGAGGCAGCAGUGGGGAAUAUUGGACAAUGGGCGCAAGCCUGAUCCAGCCAUGCCGCGUGUGUGAAGAAGGCCUUCGGGUUGUAAAGCACUUUUGUCCGGAAAGAAAAGCGCUCGAUUAAUACUCGGGUGUUAUGACGGUACCGGAAGAAUAAGCACCGGCUAACUUCGUGCCAGCAGCCGCGGUAAUACGAAGGGUGCAAGCGUUACUCGGAAUUACUGGGCGUAAAGCGUGCGUAGGUGGUUUGUUAAGUCUGAUGUGAAAGCCCUGGGCUCAACCUGGGAACUGCAUUGGAAACUGGCUUACUAGAGUGCGGUAGAGGGGUGUGGAAUUCCCGGUGUAGCAGUGAAAUGCGUAGAUAUCGGGAGGAACAUCUGUGGCGAAGGCGACACCCUGGACCAGCACUGACACUGAGGCACGAAAGCGUGGGGAGCAAACAGGAUUAGAUACCCUGGUAGUCCACGCCCUAAACGAUGCGAACUGGAUGUUGGGGGCAACUUGGCCCUCAGUAUCGAAGCUAACGCGUUAAGUUCGCCGCCUGGGAAGUACGGUCGCAAGACUGAAACUCAAAGGAAUUGACGGGGGCCCGCACAAGCGGUGGAGUAUGUGGUUUAAUUCGAUGCAACGCGAAGAACCUUACCUGGCCUUGACAUG